This 70-nucleotide transfer RNA is filed under the name Scutiger liupanensis (Liupan alpine toad). RNAcentral's name for it is "tRNA-Ala". Lineage: Eukaryota; Metazoa; Chordata; Amphibia; Anura; Megophryidae. The record is from RNAcentral.
UUUAACUUAAAUUAAAGUGUCUGGUUUGCGUCCAGGAGAUGUGGGGUAAACAAUCUGCAAGUCUUACAGA